CAGCCGCCACGGGAAUACGUAGGGUGCGAGCGUUAAUCGGAAUUACUGGGCGUAAAGGGCUCGCAGGCGGUUUCUUAAGUCUGAUGUGAAAGCCCCCGGCUCAACCGGGGAGGGUCAUUGGAAACUGGGAAACUUGAGUGCAGAAGAGGAGAGUGGAAUUCCACGUGUAGCGGUGAAAUGCGUAGAGAUGUGGAGGAACACCAGUGGCGAAGGCGACUCUUUGGUCUGUAACUGACGCUGAGGAGCGAAAGCGUGGGGAGCGAACAGGAUUAGAUACCCCGGUAGUCCCUGUCUCUUAUAC
RNAcentral lists this ribosomal RNA (301 nucleotides) under uncultured bacterium. Its description in RNAcentral is "partial 16S ribosomal RNA". It matches the Rfam family "Bacterial small subunit ribosomal RNA", at positions 509 to 807 of the family's 1533-position model. The record is from RNAcentral.